This 301-nucleotide ribosomal RNA is filed under the name uncultured bacterium. RNAcentral describes it as "partial 16S ribosomal RNA". It matches the Rfam family "Bacterial small subunit ribosomal RNA", at positions 509 to 807 of the family's 1533-position model. The record is from RNAcentral.
CAGCCGCCGCGGGAAGACAGAGGAUGCAAGCGUUAUCCGGAAUGAUUGGGCGUAAAGCGUCUGUAGGUGGCUUUUCAAGUCCGCCAUCAAAUCCCAAGGCUCAACCCUGGACAGGCGGUGGAAAAUACCAAGCUGGAGUACGGUAGGGGCAGAGGGAAUUUCCGGUGGAGCGGUGAAAUGCGUUGAGAUUGGAAAGAACACCAACGGUGAAAGCACUCUGCUGGGCCGACACUGACACUGAGAGACGAAAGCUAGGGGAGCAAAUGGGAUUAGAUACCCCCGUAGUCCCUGUCUCUUAUAC